UGGGGAAUAUUGCACAAUGGGCGCAAGCCUGAUGCAGCCAUGCCGCGUGUAUGAAGAAGGCCUUCGGGUUGUAAAGUACUUUCAGCGGGGAGGAAGGUGUUGUGGUUAAUAACCACAGCAAUUGACGUUACCCGCAGAAGAAGCACCGGCUAACUCCGUGCCAGCAGCCGCGGUAAUACGGAGGGUGCAAGCGUUAAUCGGAAUUACUGGGCGUAAAGCGCACGCAGGCGGUCUGUCAAGUCGGAUGUGAAAUCCCCGGGCUCAACCUGGGAACUGCAUUCGAAACUGGCAGGCUGGAGUCUCGUAGAGGGAGGUAGAAUUCCAGGUGUAGCGGUGAAAUGCGUAGAGAUCUGGAGGAAUACCGGUGGCGAAGGCGGCCUCCUGGACGAAGACUGACGCUCAGGUGCGAAAGCGUGGGGAGCAAACA
Molecule: ribosomal RNA, 427 nt
Filed under: uncultured bacterium
Lineage: Bacteria
Description: bacterial SSU rRNA
Rfam family: Bacterial small subunit ribosomal RNA
Source: RNAcentral